Molecule: ribosomal RNA, 1461 nt
Filed under: Triticum aestivum (bread wheat)
Lineage: Eukaryota; Viridiplantae; Streptophyta; Magnoliopsida; Poales; Poaceae
Description: partial small subunit ribosomal RNA
Source: RNAcentral
AUGACCGACAUUAUCCCAAUGCUUGAGGACCUGCACCCACUGAUAAAUUUAGGGACUGGUCAGCUUUCCUUGGCCUCCAGAGAGAACAUGAAUUCCUCAUCAGAUGAAAAUGAAUAUGACCUUGAGGAGGAGGAGCAGGACGACAGCGUUAGCUCAGAUAAUGAUGAAGGAGCGGAACGGCAGCAAGAUAACGGAGUUUAUUGGAAGGAUGUUGUUCAUCUAAAUUGUUUGGAUAUGGAGCAAAAUGAUAAAUUGGGGAAUAUGGUGGAGCUUCAAAGAGCAAAGAACAUGCUCAAGUUUGAGCUUGACAUGAGGACAAUUGACCUACAAGCUGCUGAUGCAACUCGGAAGCUGAAGGAUGCAUCAAGAUUCCAUGUUCAGGUCCCUUCGAUUUGCACACCAAGGCAUAACCCAUUCAAUCCUUCAAGAGAUUCAGAGGAAUCGAUAGAGUUACCGCAGAUUCCUGGCUCAGCACCAUCAGUUCUCCUUCGACGGCGAAACCUAUUUGAUCUUCCAUUCGACCAAGCCGUGCACCAGCGCAGUCGAUUUCAGGAAAGUUGGACUCCUCGCGCGCGCUUUCGAUCAGCUCAAGCACAAAGCAUGAAGUACAGGAACUCUUGUAGACAAAAUCACUCUACUUACAGUGGUGAAAUGGAUGAUAGUCACUUGGACGACGAUGCUGAGCAAGAAGGGAGCAAUGAAAAGCUAUUUGGUUCGCUGGAAGCACAUUUGGGUGAAGAGAUGAAAAUCCUAAGUGCCGCAAUUUCAGACGUGGGCGUGCUGGGCGAGGUAAAUCGUGAAACAGACGAAGGAAACAGAGAUGCUAAUGCCAGAGAUGAUGCAGCCUCAUUACCCGGAGUACAUGAUUCUGAACCGCACGGUGUGGAAGCAGACUCCAUGAGUAAAAUGAACUCACUGUUCAGGUGCCGUAUGGAGGAGGUGCUGGUGCAGUCCGUUUCAGAGGGCAGUGUCUGUCAGCCCUUGGGAGUCAAGCCUGAAGCUAUACCGAGUGCCCCGUUAUCUUCAGACUCGUGGAUGCAUGCCAGCAAAGGGAGUUCGAUCGAGGAAUUGAAGUUUCAGCUCCUGACAGCCGAUGAAGAAGCACCGACGACCUGUGCUGCCUCUGGGCUCAAUGGUCACAGUGAGUCGAUUCGAGACCAAUCGAGCGAAGCAUUACGGGUGGUAUACGAGCAGAGUUCAGGGCUGUCAACCGCAGGAGAGCAGCAGACUGCAGGUAUGUCUGAACCAAAUGAGACAUUGACUGCUUAUUGUGACGAGCUUCCUGUCGUAGAAGUUGUCAAUGUCUCAGUCGAGGAGAUGAACUCGCUGUUCGAGCAGCUCGAAGAAGAGGCGCAGCCGAGCAAUGGUCGUAGCAAAAUGGACAUUCCACAAGAUGGAUUGUGUCAAGUGGAGGUGGAUCCAGUGGAGCUUUCUCUAGAUCGCGGGUUGUCGGCGCCAUAA